ACAGGGAGAGAGGGCGACAGACAGAGGCACCGCACGCCGCAGCGCUCUGCUCUGAUCACACAAUGUGGUUUCAUUAUAUAUGGUGUUCUAUGCUUUUUGGUCACUGAUUUGAGCUGUGGCGGAGGUAUGCUCUCUCUGAGUGCCAUUCUAGUUAUAUUAUAUUAUAUGAUAUGAUAUUAUAUUAUAUUUUGAUUGAUAUUGAUUUUCAACAUAAUAAAUACCAUAAACAGGACAGCCUCAGACAAAACUUCUGUCUCAUUUAAAAUAUCUCCAUAUCUACAAACCCUGACAUUAUUUGACUUUGGCAAGUGUUGUUGCUCGUUUAUUGCACGUGUUGUUCUGGCCAUGGCGUCCAGCAUCAGUGUCUCUCAUCCACAAUGUUGAGCAUCAUCUUCCCUUUGGCCAAGUUUAGCAUCCACUGAAGUCAGCUACCCAGCUGCAAAAUAAUAGGGCUGUGAAUCUUUGGGAAUCCCACGAUUCGAUUCAGAAUCGAUUCUUGGGGUAACAAUUCGAUUUUUUUUCCCGAUUCUUUCAAAUCCAAACGAUUCAGUUCAAAAACGAUUAUUUUCUGAUUCAAAACAAUUUUCAGGAUCUACUCUAGUCUGCUGGCAUGUCAGUAGAGUACAUUUACAAAUAUGUUAUAAUUGUCAUGAUUUUAUCAAUCUAUUUUAUUAAUGUAAACACACAGAGGUAAAUACAAGACAACAUGUCUGAUUUAUUUAUGCUUGCAAUGCACACAUUUGUUGAACUUGUACAAACAAUAUCUUUCAGGCUGACAACCUUCUUGAACUUUUCACAGUUAUCAGAACACUAUAUUAAAGUAAUAAAACUGUUGUAAAAUAAAUGAAAUCGGUAGGCUUAGGCUAGCUGCCAGAACAUGCCACCACUCAAAUUGUGGGGCAGUUUUUCAAAGUGGUGAAGCGUGCGCUGAUCAGCUGCUGAUCGCGUUGGCGCUGUCUUUGCUGGAUUACAACUCUGGGUGAUGGCUUUCCAGGUGGGAAUGGGGAUUUGAAGUACUCCCGAAAUACUUUACUUCACCAUUGCAAUCUCUGCAAAUCGCGUUACUCAUAUCAAGCCCUUUCCUCCCCGGGCCGGGUUGACAGUAAAAUUCAAAGUGUUUCCAAAUGGGUGCUUUCAAAGUCCGCGGAGGCGGUUGGAUUUCUUUUUCCUCAUCCUCCAUAGCGCGACAACUUUAGACGACACUACAAACCCCUCUGUAGUCUACUUAACUUGCAUGACCUGCACAUAGCCCAUGCCGCAUCCUUGUUUUGCAUGCACUAUGGUGGCUGAGAAGGCACAUCCGCACCCACAAAAAAAAAUCGACUAUUUGAAAAUGAGAAUCGAUUCUGAAUCUUCCCAAGUUAGGAACACGAUUCGAGCUUGAAUCGAUUUUUUCCUGCACCCCUACAAAAUAAUAAUAAUAAUUUAAAAAAAAACAACCUUAAAUAGAGAAAAUAAAACAUCUCAAAGCUCAAAAUGGCUCAGAAUGACUAAUGGCAUGAUUUGAUGUGAGAUUUUGGAUGAGUAAACAGGGCCGGCUCGAGGCAUAGGCGAACUUGGCUGCUGCCCAGGGCACCGUGGCCGUACAAAGGGCGCCCCAACACUCCGUGUGAGCACCGCUCUGAUGGUGUGUGUUCUGCCAUGGAUCAGUGUGAGAACAGAGAGGAGGGAGUCCCUAAAAGGGCUCGCUAUGGGGAACAUGAGAACCAGACCAAAGCUCAGAGUUCACAUAAUGAAGUUGAACCCAGUUAUGUGUCCCUGAAGAGUGACUGGUCCAAGGAUGACGUAAUGAAUUUCAGAUCACACUCUGACUCUGAGUUUCCAUCCCUGAGGAGUAACCAGUCUAUCAGUGAACCCCUUUUAUCUAAACCUGGAGCAGGAAGUGCUGAUGAGGGCGUCAGCCAGCAGAGCUCCCAGGUUCUCCGUGGAGGCUCCGCCCCUCAGCAUCAAACACAUCUGGACUCCAUCUUUAUGGUGAGAACAAGUCUCCAUUCAACACUUUACUGUCACAUCAGUGAGACAGAAGAAGUUG
Salarias fasciatus (jewelled blenny) is the source of this 2032-nucleotide long non-coding RNA. RefSeq lists it as uncharacterized. NCBI's taxonomy places the organism in Eukaryota, Metazoa, Chordata, Actinopteri, Blenniiformes, Blenniidae. The record is from RefSeq and is a predicted model, not a curated record. The transcript has 5 exons.